Molecule: unclassified non-coding RNA, 298 nt
Organism: Callithrix jacchus (white-tufted-ear marmoset)
Lineage: Eukaryota; Metazoa; Chordata; Mammalia; Primates; Cebidae
Rfam family: Metazoan signal recognition particle RNA
About the family: The signal recognition particle (SRP) is a universally conserved ribonucleoprotein. It is involved in the co-translational targeting of proteins to membranes. The eukaryotic SRP consists of a 300-nucleotide 7S RNA and six proteins: SRPs 72, 68, 54, 19, 14, and 9.
Source: Ensembl
GCCGGGUAUGGUGGGCAUGCCUGUAGUCCCAGCCACUCGGGAGGCUGAGGCUGGAGGAUCGCUUGAGUCCAGGAGUUCUGGGCUGUAGUGCGCUAUGCCGAUCGAGCGUCCACACUAAGUUCGGUGUCAAUAUGGUGACCCUCCGAGAGUGGUAACCACUAGGUUGCCUAAGAAGGGGUGAACCAGCCCAGGUCGGAAACAGAGCAGGUCAGAACUCCCGUGCUGAUCAGUAGUGGGAUUGCACCUGUGAAUAGCCACUGCACUUCAGCCCGGGCAACAGAGCGAGACCCUGUCUCUA